GCCCUGGUGGUCUAGUGGUUAAGAUUCAGCGCUCUCACUGCAGCAGCCCGGGUUUGUUUCCUGGUCAGGGAA
Molecule: transfer RNA, 72 nt
Filed under: Equus asinus (donkey)
Lineage: Eukaryota; Metazoa; Chordata; Mammalia; Perissodactyla; Equidae
Also listed under: 1 other name
Rfam family: tRNA
About the family: Transfer RNA (tRNA) molecules are approximately 80 nucleotides in length. Their secondary structure includes four short double-helical elements and three loops (D, anti-codon, and T loops).
Source: Rfam by way of RNAcentral